GACGAACGCUGGCGGCGUGCCUAAUACAUGCAAGUAGAACGCUGAAGGAGGAGCUUGCUCUUCUGGAUGAGUUGCGAACGGGUGAGUAACGCGUAGGUAACCUGCCUGGUAGCGGGGGAUAACUAUUGGAAACGAUAGCUAAUACCGCAUAAGAGUAGAUGUUGCAUGACAUUUGCUUAAAAGGUGCAAUUGCAUCACUACCAGAUGGACCUGCGUUGUAUUAGCGAGUUGGUGGGGUAACGGCUCACCAAGGCGACGAUACAUAGCAGACCUGAGAGGGUGAUCGGCCACACUGGGACUGAGACACGGCCCAGACUCCUACGGGAGGCAGCAGUAGGGAAUCUUCGGCAAUGGACGGAAGUCUGACCGAGCAACGCCGCGUGAGUGAAGAAGGUUUUCGGAUCGUAAAGCUCUGUUGUAAGAGAAGAACGAGUGUGAGAGUGGAAAGUUCACACUGUGACGGUAUCUUACCAGAAAGGGACGGCUAACUACGUG
Molecule: ribosomal RNA, 495 nt
Filed under: uncultured bacterium
Lineage: Bacteria
Description: partial 16S ribosomal RNA
Rfam family: Bacterial small subunit ribosomal RNA
Source: RNAcentral